UUAAACUUGGAGAUGAUCAUAUUCAACGUCAUACUUUGCAAAAUCAACAUAAUCACAGAUUCAAACUAGUAGAAGAAUUCAAACUUUUUUCAUUAUUAUAAUUUUCUUGCAACUCGUAAUUAGUUCAUUUUGCUCAAGAAUAACUCGUCACCCCACCUAAAUAAAUAUGUGAUCCCAAAAAUCAGUUUUAAUUGAUAAAAUGGCUAACAAGAAUCUGAUCAUAGCAACUCUUUUGGCCAUCAUCUUCGUAUUGUCUCUUGCCUCGAUGUGCGAUGCAUCUCGACUGAGUUAUCAAGAAUUUGGCGCUAAGUUAGAAAAAUGUGGCCCGUGUUUCUGUUGCCAACCGAAUAAUCCGCUGUGCUGCCUCUGCGCCUGCCCCGUGCCGCCGUGAAAAGCUACAGUUUGAGACCAGAUUUUUCUGCUUCAUUAAUUAUGAUUAGUAUGAGGAUGUAAUAAACUUGAUUUGGUUUGUUGUUUGAUGAAUAAAUUUAUGUUCCGUAAA
This is a long non-coding RNA of Salvia miltiorrhiza (redroot sage), 502 nucleotides long. RefSeq lists it as uncharacterized. The record is from RefSeq and is a predicted model, not a curated record. The transcript has 2 exons. Lineage: Eukaryota; Viridiplantae; Streptophyta; Magnoliopsida; Lamiales; Lamiaceae.